Molecule: ribosomal RNA, 429 nt
Filed under: Chloroflexota bacterium
Lineage: Bacteria; Bacillati; Chloroflexota
Description: Chloroflexi bacterium partial 16S ribosomal RNA
Rfam family: Bacterial small subunit ribosomal RNA
Source: RNAcentral
UGGGGAAUAUUGCACAAUGGGCGCAAGCCUGAUGCAGCCAUGUCGCGCGUAUGAAGAAGGCCUUCGGGUUGUAAACUACUUUCAGGCGGGAGGAAGGUGGUAAGGUUAAUAACCUUAUCAAUUGACGUUACCGACAGAAGAAGCACCGGCUAACUCCGGGCCAGCAGCCGCGGUAAUACGGAGGGUGCAAGCGUUAAUCGGAAUUACUGGGCGUAAAGCGCACGCAGGCGGUUGAUUGAGUCAGAUGUGAAAUCCCCGGGCUUAACCCGGGAAUUGCAUCUGAUACUGGUCAGCUAGAGGCUUGUAGAUGGGGUUAGAAUUCCAUGUGUAGCGGUGAAGUGCGUAGAGAUGUGGAGGAAUCCCGGUGGCGAAGGCGGCCACCUGGACAAAGACUAAAGCUCAGGUGCGAAGGCGUGGGGAGCAAGCAGG